Cucumis melo (muskmelon) is the source of this 761-nucleotide long non-coding RNA. RefSeq lists it as uncharacterized. Lineage: Eukaryota; Viridiplantae; Streptophyta; Magnoliopsida; Cucurbitales; Cucurbitaceae. The transcript is spliced from 3 exons. The record is from RefSeq and is a predicted model, not a curated record.
ACCCUUUCUCAUGCCACACGAUUUUUUCCUCUCUUUCAAUUUCUUUCUUCUCUUUUCAAUCUCAUCUCACUUUCUUCCCUCUAUUCUUCGAACAGCCGCCGCCGUCACCACCACUGUCAUCUCUCAUGCCCUGCUCAUGACCAGUCAUCGUUGAAUAGUCCUUCAGACUAAUUUUUUUCUUCGAUCGUCGUUGUGCUCGCCACCAUCAUCAGGAUCAAAUUAAUUGGAGAAUUUUUACUGUCAGCUAUGGAGUACUUUGUUUGGCUAAAAUCUCCAGGCGAAGGUAAAGGUAGAGGAAAGUUGGUGAGCGACAGAGAAAGAUCCGUGACAUGCCAUAUAGGAACUCAGUUUUGCUUCCGCGUAUAUGUAUCAGUGUUUUAGUAUUUCAUGUUUAAUAAAAAUUUAGUCUUCCCUCUUUUCAAGAAAGUGUCUAUUGUUAUUGUUUCUUUUUAGUAAUGACCUCAACUUAGUAUAAAAAGUUGGGUCGUUACAUGGUGUGCACACAAUGAAUAAAGGUGUUUGAGUGAAUGGCCUAAGCAACCAGAAAUGAACCAAGGAAAUUCCCCAAAGGAUAUUGGUGAAAGGUAUCCUAAGUCUAUGCGACUUGAUUCUGGUGAAACGAAUCCUAGGUUUAUGUAAAGGAAUGGUUCAUGUUCUUGGUGAAAAGGAAUAAGUAGAUGCUAACGUAUGAUUUAUAUGUUUUAUUAACAUAAGGCGUUGAUAGCCUGUUUAUGAAAAUGAAAAUGAAUUUGUUGAUUGAA